RNAcentral lists this ribosomal RNA (828 nucleotides) under Triticum aestivum (bread wheat). RNAcentral's name for it is "partial small subunit ribosomal RNA". The record is from RNAcentral. Lineage: Eukaryota; Viridiplantae; Streptophyta; Magnoliopsida; Poales; Poaceae.
AUGAUGCUGGAUGGGAUGGACCGUACUUGGUUAAAAGGGCUGCCUGCCAACUCCAUCGGGUCAUGGGGUGAACUGAAGGCCCGGUUUAUCCAAAACUUUAGAGAUACAUGCAAACAACCCAUGUCGAUUGUGGAUUUAUCUGCUUGCGCCCAAGAGGAGGGUGAAUCAACGACCCAUUGGGUGCGCCGGGUCAAGGCUAUUAUACACUCAUCUGAUAACAUGAAUGCCGGCUCUGCAGUCCUGAUGCUGGAGAAAAAUUGCCCUUUCUUGCCUCUUAAGCGGAAACUAGGGCCGCUUAAACGCGAUUGCAAUGAUAUGGGGCAGCUGAUGGCGGCUCUAAUUAAAUAUGCCAACUCUGAUGGUGCCAAGGACCCUGAGUCUGAUGAUGAAAAGACGGGAAAGGGAAAGAAGAGUGGCAACGCUAAGGGUCCGCAGCAUAACCCGGCGAGUCAGGGGGGCAACAGCAAGCGCAAGGCUGAUGGUAACUCGGAUUUUGUAGCUAAUACCAAUACGCAGAACAAUGGUCAGCGUCAUAAGGGGAGGCUGCCUCCUCGGACAGAUGGAUCAGGUCCCACUCUUGAGCACUUGCUGAAUGAGCCCUGUCCAAAGCAUGGUACAAAGGAGAGGCCAUCCACUCACGUUUGGAAAGAUUGUACAAUCAUGAGGGCUUUAAAAAAUUCUAAUUUAUUCCAAAACAACCAUGGGCCAGGCGGCGACUCAGGUUCUGGUGGCGGCGGUUUUCAUGGCCCGGGUUAUGGAGGUGGCGGUUCUAAUUAUGGCUUUCAGGGUCACCAACACCAUCAAAGUAAUCAGGGUGGUUUUACCUAA